RNAcentral lists this long non-coding RNA (99 nucleotides) under Canis lupus familiaris (dog). RNAcentral's name for it is "lncRNA (ENSCAFG00030025335.1)". The record is from RNAcentral. Lineage: Eukaryota; Metazoa; Chordata; Mammalia; Carnivora; Canidae.
CUCAGAUGUUCAUAUUGGCCUUGCACAAUUUCAGCUCAGAACAGAGGGAAGGAGAUCACCAAGGUAACAUUGGCUGUCUACACCGAGAGAUGAAAUAAU